UMACAUGCAAGUCGAGCGGCAGCGCGGGGCAACCUGGCGGCGAGCGGCGAACGGGUGAGUAAUACAUCGGAACGUACCCUGUCGUGGGGGAUAACCAACCGAAAGGUUGGCUAAUACCGCAUACGACCUGAGGGUGAAAGCGGGGGACCGCAAGGCCUCGCGCGAUAGGAGCGGCCGAUGUCGGAUUAGCUAGUUGGUGGGGUAAAGGCCUACCAAGGCGACGAUCCGUAGCUGGUCUGAGAGGAUGAUCAGCCACACUGGGACUGAGACACGGCCCAGACUCCUACGGGAGGCAGCAGUGGGGAAUUUUGGACAAUGGGGGAAACCCUGAUCCAGCCAUUCCGCGUGAGUGAAGAAGGCCUUCGGGUUGUAAAGCUCUUUCGGCAGGAACGAAACGGCUGGGCUCUAACAUAGCCUGCUAAUGACGGUACCUGAAGAAGAAGCACCGGCUAACUACGUGCCAGCAGCCGCGGUAAUACGUAGGGUGCGAGCGUUAAUCGGAAUUACUGGGCGUAAAGCGUGCGCAGGCGGUUUUGUAAGACAGAUGUGAAAUCCCCGGGCUUAACCUGGGAACGGCGUUUGUGACUGCAAGACUGGAGUGCGGCAGAGGGGGGUGGAAUUCCACGUGUAGCAGUGAAAUGCGUAGAGAUGUGGAGGAACACCGAUGGCGAAGGCAGCCCCCUGGGUCGACACUGACGCUCAUGCACGAAAGCGUGGGGAGCAAACAGGAUUAGACACCCUGGUAGUCCACGCCCUAAACGAUGUCAACUAGGUGUUGGGUGGGUAAAACCAUUUAGUACCGGAGCUAACGCGUGAAGUUGACCGCCUGGGGAGUACGGCGCAAGUUAAACUCAAAGGAAUUGACGGGGACCCGCACAAGCGGUGGAUGAUGUGAUUAAUUCGAUGCAACGCGAAAACCU
RNAcentral lists this ribosomal RNA (920 nucleotides) under uncultured beta proteobacterium. RNAcentral describes it as "bacterial SSU rRNA". It matches the Rfam family "Bacterial small subunit ribosomal RNA", at positions 51 to 970 of the family's 1533-position model. The record is from RNAcentral. Lineage: Bacteria; Pseudomonadati; Pseudomonadota; Betaproteobacteria.